This is a long non-coding RNA of Canis lupus familiaris (dog), 1813 nucleotides long. RefSeq lists it as uncharacterized. The record is from RefSeq and is a predicted model, not a curated record. NCBI's taxonomy places the organism in Eukaryota, Metazoa, Chordata, Mammalia, Carnivora, Canidae. The transcript has 2 exons.
GCCGGGGCCUCAGGGCUCCACACCGCCCAGGAGGACGCGGCCCGGCAGCGGCGCGCCCUGCGGGAGCGGCUGCAGCAAGUGCUCCGGGAGCGGACCUGGCGGCUGCGGGCCCUCGGGGCCAGGAACACCCAGAACUUCCAGCGGCUCCUGUGGCCCCCGGGCGCUGAGGAGCCUUUGCCUGGAGAGCAGCGCUCACCCUUCCCGGCCCCCUCCAGUCACUGCUGAAUCCUCACGGGGUGAUUAAAGAGAUGGAGACCGAGGAAAAGGCGAGCCACGACCCGGCAGCAAGGGCCAUCAGAGGAAGUUCCAAAAAAGGCCCAGAACUCUGCCUCAGCGCCUGGGAGGCCGGACACACAGACACACACAGCGGCUUCAGCCCCACCAGGAGGCGUGUUAUUCCUUCUCCCGGUCCCCCAAGUCCCCUGGCUGGCCAACGUCAGAGAGCCAGGUCCCGAGGGUCAAGCAGCGCGAAGGCCCCAUUCUUUCGGAAGAAGGAUUCGAUGCGGCACAUCUUACAGGACACCAGUUCUUGCUUCGCUGGGGGGCCUGGGAAAAGAUGUCAGAGGCCAGGAAUGGAUCCUGGGAAAGGAACUUGCGGAGCCCGGGAGCCCCACAAGCUGCCUGUAUUGUAUCCACUUGUAAGUGUGACGGAAUAAAAAGUGCUCCUGAGGAACGUGGGCUGUGGGCAGACAGAGCCGACCGGGGGUCCAGACCAGCAGUGAUGGCAGAACUGGCCCAUCCGCCAAGUGUCAUCUUUUCCCCCACCUCAGGCUCCUCCACUGCUUGCCAUGGGGACGGACAGAGCCGGCCAUCUCUGAAAGAGAGAGGGCUGCCUUCCACCUCCUGCUCUCCUGGGACUUGCUUCCUGCUUUGGGGGAAAUACCUCUUUCCCUUCCCUUUAGGGCCUUGGGGAAAGUGGCGAGAAUCUUUAGGCAAAAUGUCAGCUGUGUUUAUCCCCAGCCAUCCACCGUUUGCCCAGGCCCUCAACCCUGUGGAGAAACACCCAUAAGCCCCUGAGUAGUCUCACUUGCAGUCCAUGACCACAAACAGUAAAGGGACACAGGAUCACCCAGCAGUCCUGCAGCAUUCCCGGGCACGCUCCCUUUCCUACGCCAUUGAGCUCUUCAUCUCCAGCUAUACCACUGCCUCCCUCCUGUCCUCCCUGAGGAUGAUCUGGACUCUCAGCCUUGCAGAUAAAGCAGACUCAGCCCAAGUGGACAGCCUUCCCACCAACACUGUCUCCCUACCGCUCUCUGUGCCCCCCUGCCUCUGUCAGAUUCCAGCAUCUGGAGUUUCCUGGGUGGGCUCACCCAGCCUCGGGCUUUAAGUAACAUCUACAUCUCCGUGGCUCCCAAACUGACAUCUUCAGCUCUGACAUCACUCCAGCGGGGGAUCUCCGUACACAGCCACCUCACUGGCACCUCCGGCAUGGCCAGGGCUCACCUGUCCUCACACGCCCUCCAGCCCUGCUCCCCUCCAUCUUCCUUGUCCAGGCACCUGAGCCAAACACUUGUGCUUUCCCACAGCCUUCUUUCCCCUUCUGUCAUCCCAUCCAUCCAUAGGCUUCAUUGAUUCCUCUUCCAAAGCAUAGCCUGAAUCUACCACGGCUCUCCUGCUAAUCACCCUAGCCCAAGCCAUCGUCCUCUCCUGCCAAGAGAACUCAAAAUAGAUGCAGAUCUCACUGGCCAGUUGAUUCUUUCCCUGAAAAAGCCAUUACUUAUGGAAUAGUUAGUACCCUGUCAGUAUUGUUCACCUGCUUAAAACCCUCCAUGGCUUCUUCUCCCACUUGGAAUAAAAUCCAAAUUCCUCUGUC